AAAAGAGAAAAAGAAAAAUUAUUCCCAUGGCCAUCAUCUACAAUUCACAUUUUCAAUUCCCAUUCGCAUUGACUUGGAAAUUCGAAGUGGCGUCCACGUGAGACCACCACGCUUGCUCUGAUCACUUUGCGUUGAAAGUGCGUGCAUGAAAAUGGCACUUCGCAGCUUUACGCCUUGAAAGAAACCCUCUCUCUCUCCCUCUCUGCAAAACCGAAGCAGCAGGAGAUGGACGAUAUCACGAACCUGAUCUGCCCUAAUUCUCCCUCCGUGUGGGACGGGAAUGGACUUUCCAAGUGCUACGGCAACAUUCUGUUAGCUUUUGGUCCUAAUAUAGUCACUCUUGCUGUGAUUUUCGUACUCGGAAUCACUCCAAGGACCGGCAGAAGAACCUGGAGGAUGAACUUUUCCGAGAGGUUUUUCUUGCACGUGCUUCCUGCCGUCGGAGCUUGUUCAGCAUUUUUCGACAUUGCUUUACUUUUAAAGAAAGGUCGUGGUGGUGUCUUGGUUGCAAAACAUGAAUGGUUGUUCAGAUGUUCCCAGUUUGCUGUCUGGACAGUUGUCAUACUCUUCUCAAGGUGUUUCAAUGCUUGCCAUAUUUUUGGCAAUCGCAUCUUGUGUUUCUGGUGGCUUGUAAAAAUACUUUUGGCAACACUUCAUUUGUUCACAACAUAUCCUUCAUUCAAGGUCUUGUUAUCUCUUAAGGAGAUUGGUACUGUUUCAUUGGACGUCGUUUUUGGUAUAUCAAUUAACAUCAUCAGAAUGAAGAGGGCAUCAUCCAACAGAAGUUCAAUGGAAGAUUCACUACUUUCUGCUGACAUGGACCUCGAGGAAGGUUCUCUCAAGGACUCUGGCGACAAUCAGAGCUAUUUCAAUCUUAUGACAUUCAGAUCGAUCACUUCUGUGAUGAGUCAUGGUGUCACAAAGCAGCUUGAAUUUGAAGAUUUGCUUCAACUUCCCACUGAUAUGGACCCUUGUUCCUGUCAUGAUGCAUUAUUUAGCUGUUGGAAAUCCCAACAGAGUAGUUGCCCUGAUCCAUCCCUGUUUAGGGCAAUCUGUUCUGCAUAUGGAUGGCCAUACGUUCGUCUCGGCUUGUUAAAGGUACUUAAUGAUUCUGUUGGUUUUGCUGGACCGUUGCUUCUCAAUAAGCUAAUUCGCUUCCUUCAACAAGGUUCGCAGAAUUUGGAUGGCUAUGUUCUUGCUGUAUCCUUGGGCCUCAUAUCUAUCUUUAAAUCGUUUUUGGAUACACAAUAUACUUUUCAUCUUUCAAAAUUGAAGUUAAAGCUACGAUCUAGUAUCAUGACAGUUAUAUAUCAGAAGUGCCUCUGUGUCAACCUAGCAGAGCGAUCAAAGUUUACCGAGGGGGAAAUUCAGACAUUCAUGGCCAUAGACUCUGAUCGCAUUGUCAACUUAAGUAACACUCUCCAUGAUAUGUGGAGCUUGCCUUUACAAAUUGGGGUGGCUUUGUUCCUUUUGUAUACACAAGUCAAAUUUGCAUUUGUUUCUGGGCUUGCAAUUACCAUCGCAUUAAUACCAGUGAAUAAAUGGAUAUCUACAUUGAUUGCAAGAGCUACAGUGAAAAUGAUGAAGCAGAAGGAUGAGAGGAUCAGAAGGACGGGGGAACUUUUGACAUAUAUCCGCACUUUGAAAAUGUAUGGUUGGGAGCUCUUGUUUUCUAGCUGGUUGAUGGAGACAAGAUUAUCAGAAGUUAUGCACUUAACUACACGGAAGUACUUGGAUGCCUGGUGUGUAUUUUUUUGGGCCACAACACCAACUCUUUUUUCUCUUUGUACAUUUGGACUUUUCACAUUGAUGGGGCAUCAACUUGAUGCUGCAACGGUCUUCACUUGUGUUGCUCUGUUUAAUACUUUGAUAUCUCCUCUAAACUCAUUUCCGUGGGUCAUUAAUGGGUUAAUUGAUGCUGUCAUAUCUGUCAGACGGUUGAGCAGGUUCCUGUCUUGCUCUGAGCGCAAGUCAAAGCUGGAAAAGACAGCUGAUGCAUCUUCACCAUAUUUCUCCAAUGAUCAGUGUGAAUUUACCUUUGAAGAUAUGGCUGUUGUGUUUGAUGAUUCAUCUUGUUCCUGGUCAAGCAGCGAUGAAAAGGAAUUGAAUUUGGUGCUGAAUCAUGUAACUCUAGGUAUUCCAAAGGGUUCCUUCAUUGCAGUAAUUGGAGAGGUUGGUUCAGGUAAAUCAUCAUUGUUGAAUUCCAUAUUGGGGGAAAUGCAACUUGUCCAUGGAUCAGUAUAUUCUUGUGGAUCUAUAGCAUAUGUACCACAGGUCCCAUGGAUUCUGUCUGGAACAAUCCGUGACAAUAUACUGUUUGGAAAGCAAUAUGAUCCCAAAAGAUACACAGAUACUUUAGAGGCAAGUGCUUUAGACGUUGAUAUUUCAAUAAUGGUUGGAGGUGACAUGGCUUAUAUUGGAGAAAAAGGAGUCAACUUGUCAGGUGGACAGAGAGCUCGAAUUGCUCUGGCAAGGGCUAUUUAUAAUGGCUCCGAUAUGUUUAUUCUUGAUGAUGUCCUCAGUGCAGUUGAUGCAAGAGUUGCUCGUUGUAUUUUAUACAAUGCAAUUUUGGGUCCACUAAUGAAAAAGCAAACUCGUGUGCUUUGUACGCAUAACGUUCAGGCAAUAUCUUCUGCUGAUACAAUUGUGGUUAUGGAAAAAGGACAUGUAAAGUGGGUGGGACCUUCUGCUUGUUUGCCAGCUUCUUCAUAUUCAGCAUUCUCUCCACUGAAUGAAUUUGAUAAAUUCUUACUGAAUGAAGGAAAAGAGUGCAAUGUACCUGCAGAUUCUCUCACAAAAGACCAACAAAACCUUCCCUUAGAGAAAGAUAUUGUGCCUGCUUCAGAGGGAAGACAAGAUAUUAUUGAAGUUGAGGCACGGAAAGAGGGAAAAGUAGAACUUUCUGUCUACAAGAAUUAUGCCACGUUUACUGGUUGGUUCAUUUCGGUUGUAAUAUUUCUGUCAGCAAUCCUAAUGCAAGCUUCUCGUAAUGGAAAUGAUCUGUGGCUGUCAUAUUGGGUUGAUACAACAGGAAAGAGUCAGAAAGGAUACUCUACAUCCUUUUAUCUGGUAAUACUGUGCAUCUUUUGUACUGCAAAUUCAGUUCUUACAUUAGUGAGGGCCUUCUCAUUUGCAUAUGGCGGCGUACGAGCUGCAGUUAAGGUGCAUGAUACACUGCUGAAAAGGCUUAUCAAUGCACCUGUUCAAUUCUUUGAUCAGACACCAGGUGGAAGGAUACUAAACAGGCUAUCUUCAGAUCUAUACACAAUUGAUGAUUCUCUUCCCUUCAUUCUCAACAUUCUCCUAGCUAAUUUCGUUGGUCUUCUGGGAAUUGCAAUAGUUUUGUCAUAUGUUCAGGUCUUCUUCUUGCUUUUGCUAUUACCGUUUUGGUAUAUCUACACCAAACUUCAGUUCUUCUACAGGUCAACAUCUCGAGAAUUGCGAAGGCUGGACAGUGUGUCUCGGUCUCCCAUAUAUACAUCCUUCACAGAGACACUUGAUGGAUCAUCAACUAUACGGGCAUUUAAGUCUGAGGACUUCUUUUUGGCCAGAUUCACUGACCAGGUGAAAUUGUAUCAACAAACUUCCUACACAGAGUUAAAUGCAAGUUUGUGGCUUUCCCUACGUCUUCAGUUGUCAGCAGCAUUUAUCAUCUCAUUUGUUGCUAUUAUGGCUGUUCUUGGAUCUCAUGGUGGAUUACCAAUCGGUUUCAGUACCCCAGGGCUGGUUGGUUUGGCUCUAUCUUAUGCAGCUCCGGUUGUAAAUUUACUGGGAAGCUUUUUGACAAGUUUCACUGAAACAGAGAAGGAAAUGGUUUCCAUUGAAAGAGCUCUUGAGUAUAUGGAGGUUCCUCAAGAAGAAGUUGAUGGACUUCAAUCUUUAAACUGCAAUUGGCCAUUUCAAGGACGGAUUGAAUUCCAAAAUGUUACCUUGAGAUACAAGCCAUCUUUUCCAGCUGCACUUUGUGAUAUUAGUUUUACUAUUGACGGAGGGAUGCAGGUUGGUAUUGUUGGAAGGACAGGAGCUGGAAAAUCUAGUGUUUUGAAUGCCCUUUUCCGCCUCACACCAAUAUGCACAGGAUGUAUUCUUGUGGAUGAUAUAAACAUAGCUAAUGCUCCUAUCAGGGAUCUUCGUGGGCAUUUCUCUGUUGUUCCUCAGACUCCAUUUUUAUUUGAAGGAUCAUUAAGGGACAAUCUGGAUCCAUUCAGGCUGAGUGAUGACUAUAAAAUUUGGAAGGCUUUGGAGAGGUGCCAUGUCAAAGAGGAAGUAGAAGCAGCAGGAGGUUUAGAUAUUCACCUAAGCGAAUCUAGGAUGUCCUUUUCUGUAGGGCAACGGCAGCUUCUUUGCCUUGUACGUGCACUGCUCAAAUCUUCAAAGGUGCUUUGUUUGGAUGAAUGCACAGCUAAUGUGGACACUCAAACAGCAUCUACCUUACAAAAAACCAUAUCUAGUGAAUGCAGUGGCAUGACAGUUAUCACAAUUGCUCAUCGUAUUUCCACCAUUCUGAAUAUGGAUAAUGUCCUGAUCCUCGACCAUGGUAUCCUGGUUGAACAAGGAAAUCCGCAGGCUCUCCUACAAAAUGAGUUCUCCAGAUUUUCCAGUUUUGCUAAAGCAUCUACAAUGUGAUUACCCAACAACUCAACAAGUACUGCUGUUGUCAUUGCUGAGUUCUUGCAAUCAGCUAGUUUGACCUACAAUAGAAGCUAUAUUAUUGGGAUGAGUGACUCCCAACAUGAGCCAAAUUAGGAUCCUUCUCCGUAGGCACCAUUCAUUUCCCGUAAGGGAUGAUUUCUUCCCAUCGAAGAAGCAUGCGAUUUCAUUUUGGAGCCUGAAGAUGCGUUGGCCCUCAAAGCACCACCAUUCAGUCGGUUCUCUCUUCCUUCUCUGGCCGUUGAGCUAGCCGGAAUCAAUGUAAAAAUCGUAGGACCAAUCUCCCUAGUCAAUGUAAAGUUUAGAGGGUCCUUUGAUUCAACAGCCCUACCCCCCUCUUCAGGGGUGAGUCAUGAAAAUCAGUGCCUUGUCGCUUACCCAAAACAGGGAUAGCAAAACCUGGAGGGAUGUCUUUAUUCCGAGUCAAUAAGCUAAUGAUAGGAACUAUUCUCUCCCUGUAAGGGACGUCGCCUUUACUCUGUAAGAGAACUAAUAUCCCUUGUGCUGUCAAUGUGCUGCCCUUCUAAGUGUCUUGAUCGAGUUUCCAUCUUGCAACAAAGUGGUAAUUUUAUUUAUGUAUUUGGAAUUAUCUAGUUAUGUAAUUAGGGUUGAAUUCGGUCCUAAUAAAGCUGAAAGAAAAAUAAUGACGUCUCAAAUGAUCAAGUUGUCGAUUGAGGAAUUCA
RNA transcript from Rosa chinensis, 5333 nucleotides. It is a transcript of the gene named ABC transporter C family member 13, with no coding region annotated. The record is from RefSeq and is a predicted model, not a curated record. NCBI's taxonomy places the organism in Eukaryota, Viridiplantae, Streptophyta, Magnoliopsida, Rosales, Rosaceae. The transcript is spliced from 37 exons.